GCCGCUGUAGCACAAAGGUAGUGCAUUGCCUUCCUACCUUGCGCGUGGGAUCACGUAAGGCCUGAGGCAAAGGCUGUGGGUUCGAGCCCCAUCAGCGGUU
Molecule: non-coding RNA, 100 nt
Organism: Mycena capillaripes
Lineage: Eukaryota; Fungi; Basidiomycota; Agaricomycetes; Agaricales; Mycenaceae
Source: the annotation of a GenBank genome assembly